Long non-coding RNA from Gallus gallus (chicken), 2488 nucleotides. NCBI's taxonomy places the organism in Eukaryota, Metazoa, Chordata, Aves, Galliformes, Phasianidae. The record is from Ensembl.
CUUUUCUGUAUGAGGGCUGCUUCCUAAGGAAUGUUUUUGUGUCCAGGGAUCCUAACAGCAGGUUAGAAGUAUCAGAAGGUGAAGCUUCACAUGACUGAGAGUUAUAUGAUUGCUAACGCCAGUUCUCCUGACCAGGAUCAUUUAGUUCUUGCUUGGAUUCAUCAAGAACAGCUCAUCUUUUAAGAGCUAUUAUUUUUGUCAUCUGACCUAGAAGAAUCACAAGAGACCAAGGUCUUUGUUUAAGAACUGCCUGCAUGCAAGUUAACUACGAAUGCCUCAGGGAGUAUAAGCCGCUGCCAGCAUGGAAAUUUAUAGGAUUGACAUGGUUUUCUAAUUUGAUUGCUCUACUCAUUGUUGCAAACUUCCUGCACAGAAAAAAUGGGGCAUGAAGUAAGGAGUACUUUUUGAGGGCUGAAAAAGUGACAUUAGAGGGAAUGUUCGUCAUAGUUAUUCAUGAACCAGUAGUACUAGCCAGCUCAUAUACUGAAAUACAUUUUUGGCCCCCCAAAAUCCCUACCUUAAUCUGCUUCACUUAAAAAAAACAAUAUGAAUUCAAAUUACAUGUGCACACAUUAGGGAAACCAGGAUUUAGUCAAAUGGGCAAAAGGAAUUUGUUUCAAUGUUUUGGCCCUAGAGCUAUUAUCAAGAAAUAUACAACUACUUUCCUCAGACAGCCAUCUCUGGUUCUCUUCUCUCAACACCAUCAAUUUUUUUAUAAUACAAAAUGACCGAAGUGCAGGAUUUUUAUUACAUAUUCCCAUAAAUAAUUUACUGAUAACAUGGAACGAGAGAAAUGAAAGAGCCAUCUCUAUUGCUGAUGUGAUCACACUGAACACAGUCCUGGUAAGAUGCCACUGAACUCAGCGAACUGUGCCUCAAGGCUUUGAUUCUGGGAAUUCACUUCCAUAAACACAAUUGCCUGCAACUACAGAUGUUUUACUGGAAGGUCACCUUGUGAGAAUAUCCUCUCAGCAUUUAGAUGGGCCUCUCCAACACUGCAUUUUGCCCAGGUGUGGCCUUUUAUCCUUCAUCAGUUGGUGCUUCUGCCUGAGAGUCAGCUCCCCGUCAUGUGCUUACAAGUGGAUUAGUGCAGUGGGGCCUUCCUUUUGCUACUAAAUAUAAUAGCUUAUGCCACCAGAGAAAUAAAAAAACAUUCUAUAAUUCAGGAAUGCAUAAAGCAGAGCCUCCUGAGUGUUAAAGCAAGCAGCACUGAUUGUGUUAGAAAUUCAGAAGCGUUAUAAACUUCUAAUUGGAAAUCAUUAAACCAGAGUCGUCACUUGAAUUAUAUUCAAAUAUAUCAAAUUUUUCAAGUAACAGUAUUUAUUACUUUUUCUCUGCCUCUAUGUUAAAUGUUUGGGUUUGUUGUUUUUUCCGUGCAGAUGAUCAGAGAGAUCAUUAAAUCAAGUUUUUGCCCAGUGGACCACAAUUUAAACUCUGCCACACAAUAUGCUGAGGUAGUGGUGUCUUGUAAGACUAACUCCUUUGCUGGAAGGGGAGACACAGCAAUAAGUACUUCUGUUUUUCUAACAGAACAUAUCUCUACCAUGCUGUUGAAUAGUAUUUCAGAAAAAAAUACAUUUGGUCUUUUUCAAAAUUGGCUAAUAAAUAAAGAGAUAAAAUAAAAGUGCAGAGAAGGAGGCAGAAGGAUAGAAAAGCAAGCUCUUCCUUCACUGUGCAUGCUCUGAGCUUAGUGACACUACAGCAGUACAGUCCCUUUGAUGUACUGUCACGCCAGUGCUAUGCAGAGAACAGUGCAGAGAAAUGGUAUUGAAAUCCAGUUAUUUUGCUGUAUUUCAUAGGUCCCUCAUUAAGCAGGUUAGGGAUAUGGGGUUGAAGGGGAGUUUAUGUCUCUGUGGCUUGUUUAUGAUAAACAUCUAUUUUUGUGGAACCAUUCCUUUAGCUUCACUGCCUAGAGACAGUCAUUUAUCAUCAGUGAGAUGUCAGUAGAUAGCUGUUAAUGAGCUUGGUUCAUACCCAUAAAGGCUGACAAGUAACUAGGUGAAAUAGGUAUAAUUUUAGCAUGAUAUGUUGUCAUGUAUUUCAUUGUAAUAACUCAAUAUUUUCUUUAAUCUGUUCGAAAAUGUAAUAUUUGGGGUGUGAAAUUUUACAUGCCAGUAGUAGACUACAAAGUUAAUGGGACAUCUUUCACUGGUCCGUCCAUGCCCUAGUCAGACCCUUACAUAAUAUUUAGAUGAAAAGUAAUAGGACUAAGACAUGCCAGUUCAGACCAGUUAUUAUCAGUUUGGUAGCUGAAACAGAGAGAUCCUUCACAACCUCUUUUUUUUUAUUAUUAUUAUUUUCUUUCCUGGCACUAAGUUGCUGAGCCUACGCUUUUAUAGAGAUUCAUUGUACUGCUAAGACAUGAAGGGUCUUAGUGUGGGCAACUUGUUGAUCCUCUCUGUCAACCUCAAGACAGUGUAAAAUUUUUUAUAUAUAUAUAUAUAUAUAAAAUGAAAUUUCAUUGAAAAAAAAAUAAAGCUAAAUAAAA